Long non-coding RNA from Cucumis sativus (cucumber), 1214 nucleotides. RefSeq lists it as uncharacterized. The transcript is spliced from 2 exons. Lineage: Eukaryota; Viridiplantae; Streptophyta; Magnoliopsida; Cucurbitales; Cucurbitaceae. The record is from RefSeq and is a predicted model, not a curated record.
UAGCUUCUAUGUAGAAUAAAUGUACAUUUCUGCAAAAGUGGAAAAUACGUUAUACCCCUUUGUCAUUGAUAGUCCUAGGUUCACCUAUUAUUUUCGUCUCAUGAGCUAUACUUUAUGUGAAAGUUUUCAUGGUCAGAUUAUAGUUUUUCUGAGGCGCAGGUUAUCUGUUUCACAUGCUCACAAUUGAACUUUCUUUUCAGGUAUUGACAUCUUUAAAGGAGAAGAAUGAUGAGUUCUUGUGGAAGGAUGGGCAUAAACCACAAAGUGGUUGUUAGGUAGCGUUCUCGCUUCUUCUAUUAUCUCGAUUGCUACUUUAUUGCUUGACGGUCACUUUCAUCUCUUUAUAUUGUUGGACUCACUUGUUUUUGUGAUAUGGUAUGUUACUAGUUACGACCAAACAUUGUGCUUGGUUUUUCUUACCAUUUCAUACUCUUUGUAAUUAAAAUAUAUUUUAAAAUCUGUUUCUUCUUGAGUUUUUCAAGAUCUCCCUUUGUGUUUUUAGGUGGGAGAGUUGUGUUGUUUUUCCAUCCAAAUUAAGGCAGUUAGUUAGCUAAAUCUAUUUGCUGUAUAUUUCUUCUUAGACAUGUUAAUAAUGAAAUUUGAGGCCUUUUUGUUUUUCUACUUGAAGUUACACUCUUGAUUAAGGAGUUAAAAUUUUAGCAACUUCAGUUUGUGCUAACUCACAAUUUUUCUUCUACUUGAUCAUUGUUUUUAUUUAUUUAUUAUUAUUAAGUAGAGAUUGAGUCAUCUCCUGUUCAUUGUCUGGUAUGUAGAGUGAAAAAUACUGCGCCCCUUGGGGUUGAAUUCACUGUGUAGUUAACUUCUAUUGAAGGAGCUUCCAUAUCGUAUGGUUUGUUUUCUCAGUACUGCGGGUCUUCCGCAGUAUAUACAACUUUCGUAUAGUUGAUGUGAUACAAGAAUACUUCUGUUGAAGAUGAAAAGCACGUUGUUGCCUCUUCUCAAACCAUUAUCAACUGCACUCCGGAGGACCCUAAAGUUUCUCGUAAGGAUUUGAGUAUUCUUCCAAGGUUUAUUGGAGCAUAUAGUGAGAUUGCUACAUUGAAAGCAUGUCAAAAAGUGUGAGACUGUCCCAUGUGAUGAUUUUGAAGUUGCAUUCAAGGUUAAUAGAUUUGUUUCUAAGUUUAUAUAUACCUGAGACAACAGAUGUAAGGGGAUAAACUUUACUUUUAAUAUACCACACAUCUUUUUUGUUA